Molecule: long non-coding RNA, 651 nt
Filed under: Homo sapiens (human)
Lineage: Eukaryota; Metazoa; Chordata; Mammalia; Primates; Hominidae
Description: HSALNT0223503
Source: RNAcentral
CUCUCAUCUUAGUCAUCUUUCUUCAAUCCAAUAGCUAGGUCAUAUUUUGCAAGGUCAGCUAUAUCCCUGUGUAGAUCUGUCCUCAGUGUAGAUUCUAGAGUGGUGGUACCUAAACCUGGCUGCUCAUCAGGACCUUAUGGGCAGCCUGGACAAUGAUAAUCAUUCCACUUUAUUUCUAAAAUUGUCAUUAAAAUAGAGAAAUGGAGGACAGCCUGAUUUAUAUGACUGUGACACCCUCUAUUGGUGUAUUGCCAAUGGAGAUGGCCCGGAGUCUUUGUAAUUUUGAACCAAGGAAAUAAUAAAAAGCCAUGAUAAACAUCUGCUGGCAGGUUCCCAUUGUCAACCCUCUCCUACAACACUUUAUUUGAAAGAAAUAGUCCUUCCAACGUAUGCAGAGCCUAUUUUCCUUGCUGCCUAAUUGUUCUGAGAUGCUGAAAAAUGGUAACUGUGAGAAGGCAUAUCCUGUUGAACAGAGGUCUGAUUGCCUCAAAGACGAGCAACAGUGAAUGAUAUAAAAUAAAAGUUGUGUUUUAUUUCACGUAUUUUGGUACAACUCUUGGUUCUGGAGAAGGUAAAUUGAGUCUUCCUUUUUAAAAAAGUACUUCUUUAGUUUCAAGAAACAAAAGGAAAUUGUAGCAUAAGAGGAAAAAU